GAUGAAGAACGUAGCGAAAUGCGAUAAGUAAUGUGAAUUGCAGAAUUCAGUGAAUCAUCGAAUCUUUGAACGCACAUUGCGCCCGCCAGUAUUCUGGCGGGCAUGCCUGUUCGAGCGUCAUUUCAACCAUCAAGCCCCCGGCUUGUGUUGGGGACCUGCGGCUGCCGCAGGGCCUGAAAAGCAGUGGCGGGCUCGCUGUCACACCGAGCGUAGUAGCAUACAUCUCGCUCUGGGCGUGCUGCGGGUUCCGGCCGUUAAACCACCUUCAUAACCCAAGGUUGACCUCGGAUCAGGUAGGAAGACCCGCUGAACUUAAGCAUAUCAAUAAGCGGAGGA
This 336-nucleotide unclassified non-coding RNA is filed under the name soil metagenome. RNAcentral describes it as "partial contains 5.8S ribosomal RNA, internal transcribed spacer 2, and large subunit ribosomal RNA". The stretch from base 1 to 120 matches the Rfam family "5.8S ribosomal RNA", at positions 35 to 154 of the family's 154-position model. The record is from RNAcentral.